Long non-coding RNA from Zonotrichia leucophrys gambelii, 1925 nucleotides. RefSeq lists it as uncharacterized. The record is from RefSeq and is a predicted model, not a curated record. Lineage: Eukaryota; Metazoa; Chordata; Aves; Passeriformes; Passerellidae. The transcript is spliced from 3 exons.
AUCAUUUGAAGUUUCUUUCUCAAGUGUAUGCAUACGGAAGAAACAGCUCCACUCGACAGAGGAAAAGACAGAUCAUUCAGCUCAAGUGCUGCAAAAAUUUGACAGAAAUUUUCUCCUAAAACAACAGAAACACACACUGAUAACGCGUUACUUGUGGAAAUGGUAUGUGCAUAAGCGUGCAGGGGCUUUUACACAGCUGUCAACCCACGGUAAUCACCGUCGCUAAGUAUGCCUGCAACGCGAAGACAAAUAUUUGACCUAUUUUCUUAGCAGAAUUUAGCUGUCAUCAUUCGUAGCACCACGCUCUCGUGAACCAGCCACUGCCAAAGGACUAAGGCAACACGGGCAUCGAAUUCUUCGCCGGCAGUGAGAGCGCAUCCUUCCACGGAGCGAGGUUUGUUCCAGCGCUAAAGCACUCGGCCCCUCGAACCCCCAUCCCUCUGCCGGCUCCGGGCUGCGCCCCGGUCCUGGCAAGCCCCCCGCGCCCGUCCGUGCCGGGGACUCACGUUUGUAGCUGGCGGCCCAGGGCUGGUAGCCGUAGUAGCCGGUGAUGCGGAGGAUGCGCUCCUCGAUGGAGGUGAGCCCCACGGACGCGCUGGUGAGGUCUUCCACGGAGCGGGACCACUUCAAGUCCUCUUUGAUGGCCUCGUCCACCACCAGCUUGCCAGAAGAUUCUCUGGGAUGGAAGUUUACAUUUAUCAAAAUACUACUCUUUUCAUGAGAAAGACACAGUGGAAAAUAGAAGUCCUUUAUAUUUGGAAUGGAAAAUAGACCUAUUUUUUGUUUUGAUAUCCAUUGUUCGAUGAGAAGUGCAUAAAAAAAUUAGGACAACUCAUCAUGUCUUAGUGGCGUACGAGCCCUGCCAGUGCCUCUCUUCCAAGUUCCAAUCAAAAACUGAAAUGAAAAGAGCAGAAAAAUAGUAACAUUUCCUUCCUCCAGCAAGAGUCCCAAAAGGAGGUGUUAAUGAGAGAAUGCAGAACAGACUUCUUCAAUAUCCCAUAUCUUAAGAAAUGCCAGAAGUGUCAAAGUCCAUUGGUAUGCUAUGUAGCCUUGAUAUCCCUUCAUGUUCUGCCAUUUCACAUUAUUUGUUUGUGCUAGAAAUAGCAGGCUACGAAACUCAGGUGAAGGAAAGGCUGGAUACUGGUACUGCAAGUUUUCUGUAUUUAUCUGUGCAUGACUCCUAGUUCCCCCUUGUCCCACAAGUUUGCUGAGAGGCGAGCCAAACAAUCAGGGAAUGAGGGAACUAGGGAAAAAUAUAGGAAAGAGAAUUAAGGACUCCAGAAAAAACAUGAAAGAAAACUUUUAUUGGAUUUGUGCUCAGGGAAGGAAGUAGCUUUAGCAAACUAGAGCACAAUAUUCGUGUUGUGUUAGCCCCAAGAAAAACCUAAUAAUUCUCACCCCUCAGAUAAACUUAUGGGCUGUUUUCUAGUUUUGAAGGUGUUUUUAAAGUUGGAUUUUUUUAAUGCAAAAAAAUGUGUCACUAGCCUUGGACUGCACAGAUUUCUCAGCAGGAGAGAUUUCUGAAGAGAAAGAAACACUUGGAAACUGAUGUGACAGGCAAUUUUUACUGUAUAAAAUUAAUGGUAGCUGUUUGAAGCUGCACAUGUGUCUGAAACAUUAAAAAACCCACAGCUGAAUUUUUGAUCUGGAAGCAUAGAAGAUCAAAAAAGCAUUACACUUUUGCCAAAUGCUUCCAAAGUGUGGGGCCAAGCUGCUUACUUCUAUGUAAGCAUUUUGAGUCCUAUUUGUAAGUUAACCAUUCUUAUUUUUCCAGACUUGGAAUUAAUUUUGGAAGCUACUGUAACUAUUCUGUUGCACCAACUCAGACCUCACUUCUCCCCACAAUAUACAAAAAAGUGUCCUUUCUUCACCUUUUGUCUCCUACAAUGGACAGAUUUCAUCCUGUCAUGAAUAAAGACUGUAUC